Molecule: transfer RNA, 75 nt
Filed under: Anaerolineae bacterium
Lineage: Bacteria; Bacillati; Chloroflexota; Anaerolineae
Description: tRNA-Pro
Rfam family: tRNA
About the family: Transfer RNA (tRNA) molecules are approximately 80 nucleotides in length. Their secondary structure includes four short double-helical elements and three loops (D, anti-codon, and T loops).
Source: RNAcentral
CGGGGCAUGGCGCAGUUUGGCUAGCGUGCUUGCAUGGGGUGCAAGAGGUCCCCGGUUCAAAUCCGGGUGCCCCGA